AUUGAACGCUGGCGGAAUGCUUUACACAUGCAAGUCGAACGGCAGCACGGGGGCAACCCUGGUGGCGAGUGGCGAACGGGUGAGGAAUACAUCGGAACGUGCCCGGUCGUGGGGGAUAACGUAGCGAAAGUUACGCUAAUACCGCAUACGAUCUGAGGAUGAAAGCGGGGGACCUUCGGGCCUCGCGCGAUCGGAGCGGCCGAUGUCAGAUUAGGUAGUUGGUGGGGUAAAGGCCUACCAAGCCGACGAUCUGUAGCUGGUCUGAGAGGACGACCAGCCACACUGGGACUGAGACACGGCCCAGACUCCUACGGGAGGCAGCAGUGGGGAAUUUUGGACAAUGGGCGCAAGCCUGAUCCAGCCAUUCCGCGUGCAGGACGAAGGCCUUCGGGUUGUAAACUGCUUUUGUAUGGAACGAAAAGGCUCUGGCUAAUACCUGGGGCUCAUGACGGUACCGUAAGAAUAAGCACCGGCUAACUACGUG
RNAcentral lists this ribosomal RNA (484 nucleotides) under uncultured bacterium. RNAcentral's name for it is "partial 16S ribosomal RNA". It matches the Rfam family "Bacterial small subunit ribosomal RNA", at positions 30 to 507 of the family's 1533-position model. The record is from RNAcentral.